This 789-nucleotide ribosomal RNA is filed under the name uncultured archaeon. Its description in RNAcentral is "bacterial SSU rRNA". It matches the Rfam family "Archaeal small subunit ribosomal RNA", at positions 85 to 879 of the family's 1478-position model. The record is from RNAcentral.
ACGGCUCAGUAACACGUGGAUAACCUGCCCUAUGGUGGAGAAUAACCCCGGGAAACUGGGGAUAAUACUCCAUAGAUUAGAGAUACUGGAAUGUUCUUUAAUCGAAAGUUGAGGCGCCAUAGGAUGGAUCUGCGGUCGAUUAGGUUGUUGUUGGGGUAACGGCCCAACAAGCCUGUAAUCGAUACGGGUUGUGGGAGCAAGAGCCCGGAGAUGGAAUCUGAGACACGAUUCCAGGCCCUACGGGGCGCAGCAGGCGCGAAAACUUUACAAUGCAGGAAACUGUGAUAAGGGAACCCCGAGUGCCCGUAUACGCGGGCUGUCCAGGUGUCUAAAAAGCAUCUGAAGAAAGGGCCGGGCAAGACCGGUGCCAGCCGCCGCGGUAAUACCGGCGGCUCGAGUGGUGGCCACUAUUAUUGGGCUUAAAGCGUCCGUAGCUGGACUCUUAAGUCUCUUGGGAAAUCCGCCGGCUUAACCGACGGGCGUCUAAGAGAUACUGAGAGUCUAGGGACCGGGAGAGGUGAGAGGUACUCCGGGGGUAGGAGUGAAAUCCUGUAAUCCCUGGGGGACCACCGAUGGCGAAGGCAUCUCACCAGAACGGCUCCGACAGUGAGGGACGAAAGCUGGGGGAGCGAACCGGAUUAGAUACCCGGGUAGUCCCAGCCGUAAACUAUGCGCGUUAGGUGUACUGGUGACCACGAGUCACUGGGGUGCCGAAGGGAAACCGUGAAACGUGCCGCCUGGGAAGUACGGUCGCAAGGCUGAAGCUUAAAGGAAUUGGCGGGGGAGCAC